ACGCUCGACACCUACGGGAGGCAGCAGUGGGGAAUAUUGCACAAUGGGGGAAACCCUGAUGCAGCGACGCCGCGUGAGGGAAGAAGGUUUUCGGAUUGUAAACCUCUGUCCUUGGUGAAGAAGGAAGACGGUAGCCAAGGAGGAAGCCACGGCUAACUACGUGCCAACAGCCGCGGUAAUCUGAGCGGGCUGGCAAGGC
RNAcentral lists this ribosomal RNA (199 nucleotides) under uncultured bacterium. RNAcentral describes it as "partial 16S ribosomal RNA". It matches the Rfam family "Bacterial small subunit ribosomal RNA", at positions 328 to 539 of the family's 1533-position model. The record is from RNAcentral.